AUGAGAGGAGAAUCCAAUGGUUUGCAAAAGCUAAUUCGUGACGAGUGUCCAUAUGCUUUCUUUGUUCAUUGUUUUGCUCAUCAGUUGCAAUUGGUGGUUGUCAUAGUGGCUCAGUGUUGUCCAGUUAUUGCUGAUUUUUUUAACUAUCUUCCCUUGAUAGUGACUCAAGUAGGUUCAUCUUGCAAAAGAAAAGAUGCAUUGCUUGCAAAGCAUCAUGACAACUUGAUAGAAUUGAUGGAGAAUGGUAAGAUAUCAUCUGGAACUGGUUUACAUCAAGAAACUAACCUUGCUAGACCAGGAGCUACUCAUUGGGGCUCACAUCUUAGAACCUUGCUUCGUAUCUACACAAUGUGGAAUGCAGUGGUGGAUGUGCUAGCAAUUGUGGUGGACGAUGCCCGAGAACACUCUUCUCAAGCAAAUAACUUUUGUGAGGAACAUGGCAUUGAGGUGCCAAAUAUGGAUGAUCUUGUUGGAGCUAUGGGGCAAUCUGUUCGUUCCAAGAAUAAGGUGACUCGACAUCAUUAUUUCAAGGUUAGCAUAUUCAAUGUUGCUAUUGAUGCAACUCUCACUGAGAUGAAUCAUCGAUUCAAUAAGCUAACACCGAGUUAG
Molecule: ribosomal RNA, 609 nt
Filed under: Triticum aestivum (bread wheat)
Lineage: Eukaryota; Viridiplantae; Streptophyta; Magnoliopsida; Poales; Poaceae
Description: partial small subunit ribosomal RNA
Source: RNAcentral